GGCCGACUGGCGAAAUGGCAUCGCGUUUGACUACGACCAACGGCUUGUGUAAUGCUUACGUAAGGUUCGACCCCUGCGUCGGUCA
Molecule: non-coding RNA, 85 nt
Organism: Fomitopsis serialis
Lineage: Eukaryota; Fungi; Basidiomycota; Agaricomycetes; Polyporales; Fomitopsidaceae
Source: the annotation of a RefSeq genome assembly